AUACGUAGGUGGCAAGCGUUGUCCGGAUUUAUUGGGCGUAAAGCGAGCGCAGGCGGUUUCUUAAGUCUGAUGUGAAAGCCCCCGGCUCAACCGGGGAGGGUCAUUGGAAACUGGGAGACUUGAGUGCAGAAGAGGAGAGUGGAAUUCCAUGUGCAGGGGUGAAAUGCGUAGAUAUAUGGAGGAACACCAGUGGCGAAGGCGACUCUCUGGUCUGUAACUGACGCUGAGGCUCGAAAGCGUGGGGAGCAAACAGGAUUAGAUACCCUGGUAGUCCACGCCGUAAACGAUGAGUGCUAAGUGUUGGAGGGUUUCCGCCCUUCAGUGCUGCAGCUAACGCAUUAAGCACUCCGCCUGGGGAGUACGACCGCAAGGUUGAAACUCAAAGGAAUUGACGGGG
This 397-nucleotide ribosomal RNA is filed under the name uncultured bacterium. Its description in RNAcentral is "partial 16S ribosomal RNA". It matches the Rfam family "Bacterial small subunit ribosomal RNA", at positions 523 to 918 of the family's 1533-position model. The record is from RNAcentral.